UCUCGUGGCGGAAUUGCUACAGAAGUAACAUGAGUGUGAAAGAUUCAUUCAUCAUCGCAAACCCUUGUCAGUACUGUGGGGAAAAUGUGCUGUUAGGUUUCUGUGAUUUCUGCAAAGAGGACAGCAAACUUUUAUUUGUUCGAUCUAAUUUUAUUGUUAACCAAACUGCACAAAUGUAAAAAGAGAGCUUUAGCGCUCUCUAAGUUGAAUCAUGAAAUGAACGGACGUCGCCGGUACUGUAAGUGUAACUGUACAUCAUCAUCAUCACCACCACGGUCCAGGACUCCACCAAAUGAAGCAAUUAAAACUGUUAGUUAGUGUGUAAGUCGUUCAUGUUGGCUAAUCAAAAGUGUAAUCUGCAUUCGUACUGUCCUGGCUCCUUUCUUCUUUUCACAGAAUCAGUCUUCAUCUGAUCCCGUCUUUGCCGCCGUAUUUUUGUACUCUUGUGUUGCGUGAAGGACGGACGUUUGUCGCACGUGGAGUUACGUCAUCCACACGCGACCGCAGCGCUCAGCAGCAACGGCCGAGCGGGGUUACCGUGCGGCGUGAUGUUGCACGUGAUAUAAAUAAGAAAUCAACAAUAGUAGUUGCUCAUGAUGCAGCCUGUGGCCGCCGACACGCUGCACGGCCUCGUUCUGUCGGUCGGCCGCGCACACGGAGCCCGAGUCGCCGUGACCUUCGAUGCCGGGGGAGCCCGGGGCUCCGAGUCCGAGUCCGAGUCGCUGUCCUACUCAGAGCUGCUGAGCGCAGCCGAGCGCUUGUCGGGGCUCCUGAGGGCCCGCGGUCCCCCGGAGGAGCGUCUCUUCGGCCUGUACUGCGAGCCGGGGCUCCGAGUGCCUGCCUGGAUCCUCGGGAUCCUGCAGGUACCAGCUGCGUAUGUCCCCCUGGACCCGGAGGGUGCACCUGUGCAGUCUGUACGAGUGAUGGAGCAGAGCGGUCUGAACUAUUGUGUGGUGCAGAGACACCUGGUACAGCGGUUCAAUGCUCGUUUUUCGAGCCUCGUCUCGAUGGAGGUGUGUGCUGAGUGGCAGAGCGAGGACAUCACCCUGUUCAGGAUCCACAGAGGUGCUGCUGCUCAACAGCCAGGCCAUGAGGGGGUGCCACUGAGCCUCCUGUCUGCUGCACAAUCCCACCUGGCAGGGCAGCAAGGGCUGGCAUACGUGCUGCACACCUCCGGAACGACCGGGUGGCCCAAGACAGUAAGGGUGCCACACGAGUGCAUCGUGCCUAACAUCAUCCACAUCAGGUCUCUUUUCCAGGUGACUGCUGAGGACAUCAUUUUUAUGGCCUCCCCGCUGACCUUUGACCCUUCUGUGGUGGAUAUGUUUGUAGCACUGUCUUCGGGGGCGCGUCUGCUCAUUGUGCCCACCAUCACUAAGCGGAACCCCAACAAACUGGCUGCCACCCUCUUCAAGAAGCAUCAGAAUACCAUUUUACAGGCCACACCCACUCUUGUGUGCAAGUUUGGGAGACGUGUCCUGCGGGAGCUGGUGCUGUCAGCGCACUCCCCCCUGCGAGUGCUGGCCCUCGGGGGCGAGCCGUGUCCCUCCCUGGCUGUGCUGAGGAGCUGGAGGCAGGAGGGCAACAGGACGCGUGUGUUCAACCUGUACGGGACCACGGAGACGUCCUGCUGGAGCUGCUGCUAUGAGGUCCCUCAAGAACAACUCUUGGCGACUGCCACGGGAGAGCUCUCUGUGCCACUUGGAACCCCGCUGAUGGGCACCGCUGUUGAAGUCAGAGACGAAACGGGCCGUGUUCUCACUGAGGGCGAAGGUCAGGUGUACACAGGAGGGGAACGCAGAGUGUGUUUGCUGGGAGGUGAAGUGACGGUGGCAGCAGGAACGAUGCGGGCCACAGGCGACUGGGUGGACUUGCGUGACUCUCAGCUCUUCUACAUGGGCAGGAAGGACUGCCUGGUGAAACGCAAUGGCCAGAGGUUGUACCUGGAUGCUGUUCAUCACGCACUGGAAAGCCUGCCGCAGGUGGACGCCUGUGCGGUGAUUCUGUGUGAAGGGAGGCUGCUGGCCUUUGUCGUGUCGGACUUCCACGGGACCGAUAUCCUUUCUUCGAGGGCGCUCCAGGGGGACAUACUGCGCUCGCUGUCCCAUCUUCUGCCUGCUCACGGCAUCCCGGAUUCGCUGAUCAUGUUGCCUUUCCUCCCUUUGACCGCACAUGGAAAGGUGUCCACAGACAAGCUGCUGAAGGUGUACCAGAAACGGAGGACGGUGUCUCUUGGCACGCUGGCAGAUGGCCGUGCUGUGCUUCAGGAGCUCAGGGCUCUGUGGAGGGAAGCCCUGGGUCUUGCAGAUGAUGCUGAUGUCAGCAGUGAUGCCAACUUCCUGCUCAGCGGUGGAGAUUCUCUGCAGUGCCUGCGUCUCCUUGAUGCAAUUACCUUCUCCAUGGACUUGGACCCAACCAAGCUGCUGGAGGUCCUCCUUAACAGCUCCUUCUCUGAUGUCGUAUCUUGUGUUACCACGGCGUUGUUCUCCAAGGAGAGGAGGAAGUCUGCUCCAUCAGCAGACCAGGGAUCUCCAGCUCAUAUCUUCUCACUAGAACCAGACAAAGUACCCCCAACACAACCUUUGAGUCCAGAGUCAUCCAGGGAGCACCCAACAAAGGUCCUCAAUAGCUGCUCCAAACAGCGUCCCUCUCUGCCCUCAUCCAAGAGACCCUCGUCACCCGGUGCGUUUCCAGAACGAGCCAAACGACUCGCUGCUGCCAGAAGGAGGCCAAUGGGAUUUGUCAUGUUGAGGAGAGCAGGAGAAGUUGUUGAGGUGGGUCUUUCCGUGCUCUCGCUGAAGAGCGAAGACAACGCUGUUUUAGGGAGGGCCCCAUCACACACCACAGCCCAGAGGGACAGAGUGGGAGCAGCUGAGCUGAGUUUGCGAGUACGGUGGACUUCAGACACAGGUCGUUGUGUAGAUGCUUCCCCAGUGCUGCUGGUGACCCGAGUGGACAACACCUUGGACCGUACUGAAGCCACGGUCUACAUCGGCUCACAUUCCCAUAGGUUGCAGGCUCUUGACUUCUCCACGGGGAACCUGCGAUGGGAAAGGGUCCUGGGGGGCCGCAUCGAGUCGUCAGUAGCAGUCACCAGGUGUGGAGGCUUCGUGGUUGUCGGAUGCUACGACGGCAACGUGUACUUCGUGUGCGCCGACACGGGGGACACGCACUGGGUCUUUGGCACCGGGGAUGCCGUCAAGAGCUGUCCCACGGCGGAUCCUCUGAGUGGCCUCAUCAUUGUUGGAUCGCACGAUGGUCACAUCUACGCCCUUGACCUGGAGGUUUUUGUCUUUUUCGUUCAGUUUCUUUGUUAAUCCCCAAAGAGCAAAACGGAAUUUAUAUGGAUCUUACAUGUACACAUCACUGUAAAUCUCUGAUGAGUCAGUGACACAAAGGCAGUGAACCCCAUGUAGUUAUAUACUGAUGACCCCACUGCCCCCCCAUUCAUGCGAUCUGAGAUUAUUAAUAUUGAUUAUUGUUGGUAAGGAUUUUCAUGUUUUGUCCUUUAUAUGCUUUGUGACAUGCAGGAGAGACUGUGAGACCACUGUGCUUUAAUUUUAUUAUUUAAUUUAAUUUUAUUUAAAUGAGAUAUACAACCCUUGUUUUCCUCUAGUCACUCUAGACACACUACCAGGGUAAGUAUACUUUAUAAAAUUAUAUAUAUAUAUAUUGGCUCACCAUUACCCGGUAAACCUAGAUUGUGCACUCUGGGAGGGGGGGGUCGGUCCUCAAGCCAUCAGGAGCAGCAGUGAGGGGGCCAAGAAUAAAAAUAGAAACUAUAAACUACUAUUAACUAAUAAUUAUUUCUGUAUUUAUUUGUAAUUUAGUAGAAUAAGAAAAAGUGAAACAUAAAAUACAGUGAAAUUAAAGGAAAACUCAUUGUUAGUACCUGUGUUCCGAAUAUCGACUUUAAAAAAAAAAAAAAAAAAAAUCAGACGCAGAGGAGUGCGGAACCUCUUUAGAUACAGGCCCAUGUUUGCUGCUAUAAUCGUGUACGCGAUUCCAAAAAGGGAAUGGCAUAACUUUUAAAAUUAUUUUCUGUGAAUGAAGUGCUGGACAAGACUAUGAAAAAGUAAAACUGCGUGUGUGUGUGUGUAUAUAUAUAUAUAUAUAUAUAUAUAUAUAUAUAUAAAUUUUUUUUUAAUUUAAAAAAAUUGUAAUAUUGUAAUUUAUUUUAACAAUGCUACUUUUCUCUAAUGAUAUUGGGCAGCAUUUAGGGGGAUUUUCACUGUAAAGAGGCAGAAGGUAAAAGUGCACUUUUUACCAGGCACCUUUAAUGCGUGGUGCCUUCCAGGAGCUUCCGCUGUGUUUGUGGGGAAGUCGUGUCCCCAUUCUCCGUCACUGAUUUUCCAUACACAAGUGUGUGUCGAAUUUCCGUGUGUGGUUUUAGGAUUGCUGCUGCACAUGGAAGCGUUCAUGUGGGAGUGGAGGAGUUUUCUCGUCUCCCUGUCUCCACCCAUCCCAGAGGCAGCUGUAUGUCGCAACUCUGGGUGGCCGACUGCUGUCCCUUAAUACCGACACCGGCGGUAUCCUGUGGACACAUUCCAGAAAGGUGCCCUUUUUCUCGUCUCCCUGCUGCCUCCGCAGCUGUGUGUGCAUUGGCUCUGUGGACGGCAGCAUCUGCGGCUUCAGCCACGAGGGCGACGCGCUGUGGCACUUCUCCACAAACGCACCCGUUUUCUCGUCCCCAUGUCCCGUGCCAUGCUCUGCCAACCAGAGGCUUGCAUGUGGCUCGCAUGACGGC
Scleropages formosus (Asian bonytongue) is the source of this 4747-nucleotide RNA transcript. It is a transcript of the gene named aminoadipate-semialdehyde dehydrogenase, with no coding region annotated. NCBI's taxonomy places the organism in Eukaryota, Metazoa, Chordata, Actinopteri, Osteoglossiformes, Osteoglossidae. The transcript is spliced from 13 exons. The record is from RefSeq and is a predicted model, not a curated record.